GAUGAACGCUGGCGGCGUGCCUAAUACAUGCAAGUAGAACGCUGAAGCUUGGUGCUUGCACCGAGCGGCUGAGUUGCGAACGGGUGAGUAACGCGUAGGUAACCUGCCUCUUAGCGGGGGAUAACUAUUGGAAACGAUAGCUAAUACCGCAUAAAAGUCGACAUCGCAUGAUGUUGACUUGAAAGGUGCAAUUGCAUCACUAAGAGAUGGACCUGCGUUGUAUUAGCUAGUUGGUGAGGUAACGGCUCACCAAGGCGACGAUACAUAGCCGACCUGAGAGGGUGAUCGGCCACACUGGGACUGAGACACGGCCCAGACUCCUACGGGAGGCAGCAGUAGGGAAUCUUCGGCAAUGGGGGCAACCCUGACCGAGCAACGCCGCGUGAGUGAAGAAGGUUUUCGGAUCGUAAAGCUCUGUUGUAAGAGAAGAACGAGUGUGAGAGUGGAAAGUUCACACUGUGACGGUAACUUACCAGAAAGGGACGGCUAACUACGUG
Molecule: ribosomal RNA, 497 nt
Filed under: uncultured bacterium
Lineage: Bacteria
Description: partial 16S ribosomal RNA
Rfam family: Bacterial small subunit ribosomal RNA
Source: RNAcentral